This 69-nucleotide transfer RNA is filed under the name Blarinella wardi (Burmese short-tailed shrew). Its description in RNAcentral is "tRNA-Lys". The record is from RNAcentral. Lineage: Eukaryota; Metazoa; Chordata; Mammalia; Eulipotyphla; Soricidae.
CAUCAAGAAGCUAAUUUAGCAUUAACCUUUUAAGUUAAAGAUUGAGAGCCAUUAUCCUCUCCUUGAUGG